Molecule: ribosomal RNA, 253 nt
Filed under: uncultured bacterium
Lineage: Bacteria
Description: partial 16S ribosomal RNA
Rfam family: Bacterial small subunit ribosomal RNA
Source: RNAcentral
UACGUAGGGUGCGAGCGUUAAUCGGAAUUACUGGGCGUAAAGCGUGCGCAGGCGGUGAUGUAAGACAGGUGUGAAAUCCCCGGGCUCAACCUGGGAAUUGCAUUUGUGACUGCACGGCUAGAGUGUGUCAGAGGGGGGUAGAAUUCCACGUGUAGCAGUGAAAUGCGUAGAGAUGUGGAGGAAUACCGAUGGCGAAGGCAGCCCCCUGGGAUAACACUGACGCUCAUGCACGAAAGCGUGGGGAGCAAACAGG